GACGAACGCUGGCGGCGUGCUUAACACAUGCAAGUCGAACGGAAAGGCCCUGCUUUUGUGGGGUGCUCGAGUGGCGAACGGGUGAGUAACACGUGAGUAACCUGCCCUUGACUUUGGGAUAACUUCAGGAAACUGGGGCUAAUACCGGAUAGGAGCUCCUGCUGCAUGGUGGGGGUUGGAAAGUUUCGGCGGUUGGGGAUGGACUCGCGGCUUAUCAGCUUGUUGGUGGGGUAGUGGCUUACCAAGGCAUCGACGGGUAGCCGGCCUGAGAGGGUGACAGGCCACAUUGGGACUGAGAUACGGCCCAGACUCCUACGGGAGGCAGCAGUGGGGAAUAGUGCACAAUGGGCGGAAGCCUGAUGCAGCAACGCCGCGUGCGGGAUGACGGCCUUCGGGGUGUAAACCGCUUUCGCCUGUGACGAAGCGUGAGUGACGGUAAUGGGUAAAGAAGCACCGGCUAACUACGUG
Molecule: ribosomal RNA, 468 nt
Filed under: uncultured bacterium
Lineage: Bacteria
Description: partial 16S ribosomal RNA
Rfam family: Bacterial small subunit ribosomal RNA
Source: RNAcentral